Molecule: unclassified non-coding RNA, 400 nt
Filed under: soil metagenome
Description: partial contains 5.8S ribosomal RNA, internal transcribed spacer 2, and large subunit ribosomal RNA
Rfam family: 5.8S ribosomal RNA (bases 1-120)
Source: RNAcentral
GAUGAAGAACGUAGUGAAAUGCGAUACUUGGUGUGAAUUGCAGAAUCCCGUGAACCAUCGAGUCUUUGAACGCAAGUUGCGCCCGAAGCCUCGGCUAAGGGCACGUCUGCCUGGGCGUCACGCAUCGCGUCUCCCCCAAACCGCCAAGGCGGAGGGGAAGGAAGAUGGCUUCCCGUGCCUCACCCGGGCGCGGUUGGCCUAAAUUUGGAGCCCGCGGCACUUAGCUCUCGCGGCGAUAGGUGGUGAACAAGGCCUUGGCCAUGCAAACAACCCGCUGCGAAGCUCUAUGUCACGUGCGCUCGUCGGACCCUUUGAAGUUGCCUUUGGUGACUUAAAACCUUUGCGACCCCAGGUCAGGCGGGGCUACCCGCUGAAUUUAAGCAUAUCAAUAAGCGGAGGA